Molecule: long non-coding RNA, 1805 nt
Filed under: Toxoplasma gondii VEG
Lineage: Eukaryota; Apicomplexa; Conoidasida; Eucoccidiorida; Sarcocystidae
Source: RNAcentral
GGAAGAAGACGACGAAUCAGCGGCAGGACGACCGAGAGGAGACGAGGGACAUGGAGAACAAUAAGGAGACGAAUUGUGUGGUCCUCGUUGAGGCGAAAGAGGGGCGUUCUCGACAGACGACAGUCGCGGAAGUGAUGCGGAAGAAGACUCCUCACACAUGCAGAAUUGGGGAACCGGAGGGGGGCGAGGCCCUUCACGCAAGGAUCUGAGAGUGCCCCUCAAAAGGCUCGAUUUGACAGUCUGGACGCAGACAUUCCUUCGACAUUUCAUCCGGGGAAUGAUACGACCGGUAGGAACACUCCAAGGCCGAAUCGGGGGAUCUAACAGAGUGGACGAAUGAUCAUUGGAAUCGCGAACCAUUUCUUCAUCUCCUCGGGGUUCGUGCUCUACGUUCGGGGUGUCUUCCAAAGCCACGUCUUGGUCCUCUGGGACAAAGGAGACAGAGCGCGAGAGUGACUCUGUCGGGUUCUCGCCGACGCCUUUGUUCCUUUCUGUAUCUUUUUCCGACAGUCCGUAGCUCGACCUUCGUCGUUCCAAGCUCUCCUCACCCUCCCGUUCUUGGGUCGCAAGCGCAGGGUGAAGGAACACGGAGUGGACGCUGACGGAAAAUUUGGUUUUUUUUCCACGGUACCUUCUCAUUUCAUGACCUUUCUCCACGCUUCCAUUGGAGGCUCGCCCCCCGCCGUACACCCUGGUGAAGCACGGAGAAUCCCCCGUGUGUUUGGUUCGAGGCGCGGAAGAUUUCUCUGGCUCUGAGAGAGCAGCGGCAAAGCGGCCUCGUUCUGCACAUUUGCUCACUGCAUUUGGGUCCGGCGUAAGCAACGAAUCGUCUGGAAAUUGCGGAGAUAAACAAGACACCGCAUUUAGGGCAUUUGCGUAGUUCUCCGAGGGCCUCUCGAGGAGCCUCCUGUUUUCCAAAGCAGACUGGACACGGAGCAGCAGCCAACCCCCAUCUGGUGUGCCUCCGGGAGGAGUGCGAACGUGGAGGAUUUGGGGUUCCUUCGGGUGUACAUACACCGAUGCAAAGGCAUUCCACUCUGGCGGCGUUGCACUCAAGAGAGUCAACGAAGGAUCUAACGAGGGGAUAGGGAGGCGCGACGCCGCCACAGAGUUUCUGUGAGGGGAGGAACGCCGAACCGCCGGCCGUUCCGAUCGAGAGGACAUUUCGCGAACACUCGGUUUCUCGAUGGACAGACAGAUGUCACGCAAGACCUCGGUUUGUGACCCGCCCCGUUCGUCUGGCAACGGCCGGAAAGAUCGACGGCCUUCUUCCUGAUUUACAGCGCAGUGGCGGCGCUUUGCGAGGAGCAUAAGGAGUGACACGUCAAUCGGUGCUGAGCACGUAAUGGCGAGGCCAAUCGUCCACCGACCAGGGGGCAGGUGAACUCGGAAUAACUUGACAUAUCCGGCAGAGUCAAGUUCUCCUCUCAGAAACGUUUGAUGUGGAAGAAGAGUUGCAGACACUGGACACACGCAGGAGAAGAUCUGUCGACUCGGAUUCGAAAGCUCCGCGUCGUUCCAUUCGCCCGUUGACCGUGUAACCCACGUCUCAGCACUCACUGCGUCACUGCGGUUGAGAUGGAUCAAUUCGAGAUGCUCGAGGAGGCGUUCCCAUUGCAGAUCAGCCGCCGUUGCUUCUUCUUCUGCCUGGCACACUGACAGAGCGUCCAGUUCCUGCAGUCCAAAGAGCUUGGAGGCCUCUUGCGAGAAAUCCGUUCGGAGGAGAAGCCGGAGGGCUUUCGUUCUCACCUAGUGGAGCAACCUGCAAGGUUUCAACUUUCAUUUCCGAAGGAGGCGGCGGCCAG